Molecule: ribosomal RNA, 497 nt
Filed under: uncultured bacterium
Lineage: Bacteria
Description: partial 16S ribosomal RNA
Rfam family: Bacterial small subunit ribosomal RNA
Source: RNAcentral
GAUGAACGCUGGCGGCGUGCCUAAUACAUGCAAGUCGAGCGAACAGACGAGGAGCUUGCUCCUCUGACGUUAGCGGCGGACGGGUGAGUAACACGUGGAUAACCUACCUAUAAGACUGGGAUAACUUCGGGAAACCGGAGCUAAUACCGGAUGAUAUUUUGAACCGCAUGGUUCAAUAGUGAAAGACGGUCUUGCUGUCACUUAUAGAUGGAUCCGCGCCGCAUUAGCUAGUUGGUAAGGUAACGGCUUACCAAGGCAACGAUGCAUAGCCGACCUGAGAGGGUGAUCGGCCACACUGGAACUGAGACACGGUCCAGACUCCUACGGGAGGCAGCAGUAGGGAAUCUUCCGCAAUGGGCGAAAGCCUGACGGAGCAACGCCGCGUGAGUGAUGAAGGUCUUCGGAUCGUAAAACUCUGUUAUUAGGGAAGAACAAAUGUGUAAGUAACUAUGCACGUCUUGACGGUACCUAAUCAGAAAGCCACGGCUAACUACGUG